This 888-nucleotide ribosomal RNA is filed under the name uncultured bacterium. RNAcentral describes it as "bacterial SSU rRNA". It matches the Rfam family "Bacterial small subunit ribosomal RNA", at positions 28 to 916 of the family's 1533-position model. The record is from RNAcentral.
GAUGAACGCUAGCGGCAGGCUUAACACAUGCAAGUCGAGGGGUAACGAUGUCUUCGGACAGGCGACGACCGGCGCACGGGUGCGUAACGCGUAUGCAACCUACCUUUAACAGGAGGAUAGCCCCGAGAAAUCGGGAUUAAUACUCCAUAACAAUAAGAAUUGGCAUCAAAUUUUAUUUAAAGUUUCGGCGGUUAAAGAUGGGCAUGCGUGACAUUAGUUAGUUGGUGAGGUAACGGCUCACCAAGACAUCGAUGUCUAGGGGUUCUGAGAGGAUUAACCCCCACACUGGUACUGAGACACGGACCAGACUCCUACGGGAGGCAGCAGUGAGGAAUAUUGGGCAAUGGACGCAAGUCUGACCCAGCCAUGCCGCGUGAAGGAAGAAGGCCUUAUGGGUUGUAAACUUCUUUUAUACGGGAAUAAACUUAGCUAUGUAUAGUUAACUGCAAGUACCGUACGAAUAAGCACCGGCUAACUCCGUGCCAGCAGCCGCGGUAAUACGGAGGGUGCAAGCGUUAUCCGGAUUUAUUGGGUUUAAAGGGUCCGCAGGCGGACUAAUAAGUCAGUGGUGAAAUCUCUCGGCUCAACCGAGAAACUGCCAUUGAUACUGUUAGUCUAGAGUGUAGUUGGCGUAGGCGGAAUGUAUCAUGUAGCGGUGAAAUGCUUAGAUAUGAUACAGAACACCGAUCGCGAAGGCAGCUUACGAAACUACAACUGACGCUCAGGGACGAAAGCGUGGGGAGCGAACAGGAUUAGAUACCCUGGUAGUCCACGCUGUAAACGAUGGUUACUCGUUGUCGGCGAUACACAGUCGGUGGCUAAGCGAAAGUGAUAAGUAAUCCACCUGGGGAGUACGAUCGCAAGGUUGAAACUCAAAGGAAUUGACGG